Molecule: long non-coding RNA, 2379 nt
Organism: Papaver somniferum (opium poppy)
Lineage: Eukaryota; Viridiplantae; Streptophyta; Magnoliopsida; Ranunculales; Papaveraceae
Exons: 3
Source: RefSeq, a predicted model, not a curated record
UCUGUGUUUCUCAACUGGGAAAAAUAGAGUUGUGAUUAAGGGUUUAGCCGCGACUUUUUCCUCUCCUUUCAAUUUACAAUUGCUUCGCACAUCAAUGAUAGAGGAAGUUUUCCCUCAACCUCAUCUGUAUCAAUUGUUCAUACGUUACGAAUUAGAAAAAUCCCCAUUAACAGCUCCAUUAUUUCCGCCAGUCAAUCCCUGGAGAUGUUCAGCUACAUAAACCUCAAAAAAGGUUGUCUUCCGAAGGUUUUCAUUUUCUUUGUUCACCGUACUCUCUCAAGAUUACUCGAUCACUACUCUGGCAUAUUUUGGAUUAGCAUCCAUCUCAGGUAAAUUGAACUACCCAUUUUUGAUUGUUGUGUUUCUCAAAUUUAAGUGGCAUGUGACUGUUGUUUUCUUAACAAAAUGUUGGUGAAGAAAUCCCACUGAAUGAUUGUUGGGUGACCCUUUGAUAAUGAUCAUUUCACCAAAGUCUAUGGUUGUUGUGUUUCUUAGUUGGAAACAUAAUAUUGUGGUUCUUAUAAAAGUCAAGUUUUAUCUUUUUGUUUGUAUUAUGUUUCCAUUGGUAAUUGUUAUGAUAAGAUUACAGGCUCUUAAUGAGACAUACUCGGAGUAAGAGAUCAAAGGUAUAUUGGGCCAGUCGUACUCUGAUAUUGCAGUAGAGAUUGAUCUCUAAUCCUUCAUUUGAGACAAACCCUACUUCAGUGAAGACUGAUGAGGAUGAUGAAAUACUUGAACUAACCUUCAUUGCAUAUGAAGAAUGUGUGUUACCACCAUUUUGUUCCAUACUUCUUUUGAGGUGUACUAGAUUUUAUCUGUGUGUUCCCAUUUGUGUAGUUAUUGGAAAGUGAUUACAAUGUCGUACUGGCAAAGAAGAAAACAGUGAGCAAGCAAGCUUCUACAACCCCAAAAAAGGUUUUCUUCGAGAUCCCAAGAACAGUUCAAUGCAAAAUUCUUGGAAAUAAACACGAAGACUGAGACUUUCAUUUGGUGGUACGGUGUAAAGUCUGAACAAGGUAAUAAUGUUAAGAAAAUGAUAUUUUUGCAUAUUUCUUUCGACAAUUCAGUGCCGUUUAGUUUCAUUAUUAUGUGGGUAUCUCACAACAGGUAAGUUUUCCUAUUCAUAAAUCUGAUUAACAUUCCAAAUUAAUGUUGAGUAGAGGUUUAAUUUUUAUGCAAUAGCUUGGUGUAAUACAUCCCAAACCUCUUUUAUGUUCUCCAAAUCCUAAUUUGUUACAGUGCCAAGAAAUUUGUGCUUGAAUUUCUGUUUCAAAAUUCUGGAUUACAAUUGUAAAUUGUGCUUCUUGGUGUAAUUUUUACCAUAGCACUCCAAAUGCAGGAAAGGAAAAUGGCAUCCCAGAUCAUAUGCUUCCCUCCAAAAAUGUCUCAAUCUACUGUUCAGUAUAGAGGAAGGGAAAGCAUCUCUAGGAAGUGAGAAGACACAAUAGAUAUUCCACAAGUUUUUGUAAUUUUUCAUAUUUUACAAGCAAGGGAUAUAUUGCAUUGGUAACUAGGUAACUACUGCUCUUUAAACAUUAUGAGGACUUAUCAAACGCAAAAUUUUCUUUAUUUGAAAUACUUCCCAUUACAUCUAUAUUAACACGGUUCUAUUGAAGGGUCUGUACCAUUAAUUUAGAGUUACAUGUAAUAUGCAAUGCAUAAACAUUAGUAUGAAUGUGAUAUAAGAGAAUUAUUAACCUUUAACAUUGCAGUGCAAAUAUUUAUCAACUGAAAUUAUUUCUUUACCCAUGCCUAUGAUCUUCCGUCCAGGUAAUACAAUGGAUCAUAUUAAUUGGUUAUUAUUCUCAGUGUUGUCUGAUUUCCCUUUGUGGAAUUUCUUUUGAAGCCAAAUUUUACAGAAAAAGUGCUCAUGUUUCCUUUUUGAUAUGUCAGGAGUGUUAUUUAUACUAUGGAUCCCAAAUAUGCAGUAAAGUAUUAUACAACAGAGUAUUCUCUGAGUCACUACUAUAGCUCCUACUUUGAGCUUCUAAUGAGGUAUUACAUUUGUGCAGUCCACUGAUAUUACAUGUUUUUAACCUGUCUAGAAUGUUGGGUCUAUGUUUUGUGACAUAACAUAAACUUUUUUUUUUGUUGUAAUUGCAGCAUUAUUAUAGUAUGCAUUUACAAAGAAAUAAUAAUUAUCCUCAUGAACCUGAAAUUGCAGACAGAAAAGCUAUUAUAAGUUUUCAUCUGCCACUUUCAUAUGGUUGCUCAUUCAACCUGUGAAUUUGUACUAACUGAAUUAUCAAUCAUGAAAUAGAAAUGUUUUACUUUGACAUCAUUGUUGAUGAGAAAUAGUGGAUUUAUGCAUUUGCCUGCUAAAUCAGUGAAGUCUUGCAUUUUUUGGAGGUGCAGAGCUCAAAUCUAACCUAAACAAAA